GUGAGGAAUAUUGGUCAAUGGCCGUAAGGCUGAACCAGCCAAGUAGCGUGCAGGAUGACGGCCCUAUGGGUUGUAAACUGCUUUUAAACGGGGAUAAAGUGAGCCACGUGUGGUUUAUUGCAGGUACCGUUUGAAUAAGGACCGGCUAAUUCCGUGCCAGCAGCCGCGGUAAUACGGAAGGUCCGGGCGUUAUCCGGAUUUAUUGGGUUUAAAGGGAGCGUAGGCGGAGCGUCAAGCCAGCAGUGAAAUGUAGCGGCCCAACCGCUGCACUGCUGUUGGAACUGGCGCCCUUGAGUGCACACGAGGCAUGCGGAAUUUGUGGUGUAGCGGUGAAAUGCUUAGAUAUCACGAAGAACUCCGAUUGCGAAGGCAGCGUGCCGGAGUGCAACUGACGCUGAAGCUCGAAAGUGCGGGUAUCGAACAGGAUUAGAUACCCCGGUAGUCC
This 445-nucleotide ribosomal RNA is filed under the name uncultured bacterium. RNAcentral describes it as "partial 16S ribosomal RNA". It matches the Rfam family "Bacterial small subunit ribosomal RNA", at positions 354 to 796 of the family's 1533-position model. The record is from RNAcentral.